ACUAUUUGUUUCCCAUUGGAUCUGACAGGCUGUGUUCUAGCUUGGGUUAGUUAUAAAAACAAAUCUGGAGCGCCAUCUUGCGGCUGUUGAAAUAUAUACUUCCGUUCGUUCAUGCAGAAUUUACAUCCGGAACGAUUGGUCACAACAAUAACAACCACCACCACCAUGGCAGCAGCUGGCGCUGACAUGAAGCCCCUUCAGCAUGCCAUGAAAAUAGCUAAAGUGGCUAUACAAUUGGACGCAGGGAACCGACAUAAGGAAGCUUACUGUGAAUACUUGAGGAGUAUCAACUUCAUCACCCACUCACUUUUGGAGGAUGCUGUAUCUAGGCAGGGAGAGAUAGUAGAGGUGGAAAAGAUGUUGAGGCUGGCUGAGCAGUGUUUGGAGAGAGCCAAGUCCUCCUUCAUAGGAAGGAGAGAUGAACCUGCAACCCCUAUCUCCUACACGACACCUAUCAACUUGGCAGCACUCAGCCUGACCACAGCCUUAGCAGUAAGCCCUGGAAAGAUUGUUUCGCCACAACCACAAGAGCCGGUUAUUUACUCGGGGCCUAAACAUAACCCCAGGCCUGGACAGCGCAAAGUUCUCUCAGAGGGUGGAGGGGAGGUCAUCACCUUCCUGCCCCCAGAAAUCUUCCAGAGUUUUCAGAUAGUGGAGUCGCAGGAUACCAGGAAGGAGCUUACACCCAUAGAGGAGGCCUCGCGGUUGAACCAGAAGUUGAAAGAAAAUUAUGAAGCUCGUCUGGCCCGACUCCCCCCUGCACAGGCCCGUACACAGAAGACUUCCCUGACACUCUCUCUUCAGAGGCAGAUGAUGGAGAACCUAAUCAUUGCCAAGGCCAGGCAAGAUGCUCUACAAAGGAAGAUGGAGGAGAGGAGACUGCGGCUGCAGGAGGAGGCCAACAGGAGAUUUGCCGCAUCUGGAACAAUUACUGCAGAAGAACAGGAGCAACGUGUUUUGUACACAAAUGUUUUGGAAUAUGAACAAGAUCAUGACUGGCCCAAGCUAUGGAAAGCCAACAUUAAGAAAAAUCCUGAUGAUCCCACAUUGGUGUCCGGCCUUGUUUCAUGUCUUCUCAGCUGUCCAGACCACCCUGUGAUGAUGCUACUGAAAAGGCUCCAGUACAGAGUUUACAACAGGCUCUACCCAAUCGUGAGUAAGAGUCUCCCUACAAGUCCUGCCCUGCCCAUGAAACCCUCCCACAGCGCCCAGAGCCUGUUGAUGUCAGACUCUCAUCAGAACGUGUCAAAAUCCGAAGUGGGCCACAGUAUGUCCUCCGAUGCCUCUCUCAAUAUCUCCUUCUCCCAUGACCAUAUUGCUAACGAGGAGGAUAGUGAUGGGCCCCAUACACUGGACAGGGAGAAUUCGUUUGAGGAUCUGGAGCAGUUUCUGACACAGCUGGACUGGGCUCCAUCACAUGGGGACCCUGACGUGACCUUUGAACAGUCACAGUUGGAUCAGGAGGAGCCUCUCGUUCAAGACUUGGAGAUGCGUGAUCUCAAAGAACACCUCAAGGCUAUUGUGAAGGACAUCCAUAUUGCCAUUGAUCAACUGCUGUCGCUAUGUCUUCUCUCCUUUGAGUGUCUGAACACAGCCAGUUCUAAGGACCUGUGUGUGGCCAGCAUAGAAGAAGCCUUCUUCACUCCCCUCUGGAGCUCUUUGUUGGCUCUCUUCAGGAAGGUCCACAGAGAGAGGGAGCUGUCCUUUGAGUCAAGUAUGAGGCUGUAUCGGGAUGCCUCACCUGGUGAUGUUGGUGUCGCAUCGAAACUGUACCCCCAGGACCCUGUCAUGCUGCAUGGUUCCUACCCCUAUGACUCGGCAGUGCAAGAGCUUCGCUUGCUGUGCAAAGAUUGCUGUCCCCAGAGAAAGCUGGAGUGCAUUGUUCGAACGUUGCGUCUGAUCUGUGCUUGUGCUGAGGACUACUCCUGCCUUCAUGAGGCAGAAUCCAAAACUGCAGCCAUUGGGGCAGAUGACUUGUUGCCCAUCCUCUCCUAUGUGGCUCUGCACUGUGAGCUGCCUCAGUUGGUGUCGGAGUGUGCUGCCCUGGAGGAGUUCAUUCAUGAAGGUCUCACUGGAGGAAAGGAGAGCGCAGGGACGGUGAGAGGCGGACCCUCUGCUGCUUUCUCCCUCUGCUGACACUGACCAUCAGAUGCAGGUAUCUGAUUGGAGAGGAGGGCUACUGCUUGACCUCCAUGCAAAGUGCUCUGCAAUAUGUGGAGUCAUUGCACACAGGAGGAUUUCAGCUACACAACACUAAAUUCACCUGAUACAGGCUGCUGCUUUGAAAUGGAAACCAGUAUUCCCUGUGUUGCAGUGCUCUGAAGUGGCAGUGCCUGUUAGCUGCAGACUGGACUACGGUUCAACUUAAUUCAGUGUUCUGAGCAAGAAAUGACUUUGGCUGUCAAAUUAAUUUUCUUAUUUAUGCAACAAUGGUUCUGAUGGGCUGGACCUAGUUUCCAAGUUCUGUUUCUGUUCACCCAGGUGAUUUGACAAAGCCUGCUUGUUACCUGGACUAGCUGCAAUGUGAAAUGUCUUUGCUUAUGACUGCCAUUGAGGGGCAUUUAGGUCAAGUGCUUGAAGCUUUGUCAUCCGUCAACCUGAAGUCUGCAAAAUAUUUUAAUGCUGUUGUCCAAUAUUGCUCAGUUUUAUUGCUUUCGUUUAGGAACUGACCCUGUCAUUUUAUUAAAUGAAUGUCUGAAAGAUGACUAUGUAUUACCAUAGAACAACAUGUCUCUCUUUUGAAACUCAAAAAAAGCAUGAAUUGAUAAAUUAUUGUGGAGCUGCUUACAGAAUAUUAAUAGAAUAAUUUAUUUUAGAUGUCAGGAUUCCAGUUCAAUUUUAAUGCUUGCAUUCAGGUUAUGUUUUAAGGUAAUGCACACAUGUUGCUAAAAAACUAGGUUGAUGUGAGUGAUUUGAAACUAUGCUAAGUAUUGUGUUUCGUGAGAAUGUGUGUUCAUUCACGAAUUUGUAGGGACAAUGCCUCUGAGAAAUUUCAUGCAAAAUUGAGAUAUGGGCCCCCCAACAAAACAUUUUAGGACCAUGAUUAGAACUAAUUUAGUGUCAAAUUAGUUUUUAAUAUAUCUAAAUAUUUAAGUAUUUUGUGCAUUUGGGUGGAUGGAGUUCUAGGGGGGGAUUCUCACAGGGUUAUGGUUAAUUGCUCUUUUGGCAAUAUUUUUUAAAUUCAAUUCUGACUUCACUUCUGAAAGUUUCAUCAGUUAAACUAAUUCACUGAAAUAGUGUGGACGCCAGCAGGCACUUGCAGAUAAGAUAUUAAUUGUUUUGCUACUGUGGUUGAACAUUUUAACAAUGUUUUAUACUUACAGAAUAUAUCAUGAACUGGUGUCAGUACAGUAUUAGGUUGAAGUUUAAAGUGGGAUAGGGAUGGAUUUAAGGGAGAGGUUUUUUAGUGUUUAGAGGACAUGCUGAGAGUUGACCAGUCACUCAAAGCACUGCCUCAUCUUCAAUGGUUGUGUUCCAGGCUGACUACAUUGCAGUUGCAUUGCACAAUGCCAAGAUGGGUGUUUUAAUAUAUUCGCUCACCACAUCGUAUGAUAUUGCAAUCUGAUGCCAAACUGCACAUUUUGACGAAGAGCUCAACCAUUUGUUGAUGUAACGCAACGCCUUUGACAUAGUCGGCCUGUCUCUCACAGCUAUAUGAAAACUUAGAGCACGGACAACUCUUAAUACCUGGUUUAUUGACUAAAUGUAUCAUUUUUAUUCAUACUGUUUUAUGCUGUUUGUUUUCUAUUUAAUACUUUUUAUUUGGUCUGUUAAAGAAAUGAAUGGGUCCAAAAGAUUUAAAAAUGUUUUUGACAUCCUAAAAUAAUUGUACCACCUGUCAGCAUUGUCUUUUGAAACCAUCUGUGAAAAUUGUAACACCAAAAAUGUGCUAAUAUGUACUGUGUAUAUUUAUGUGAGAAGUAUGUAAAUGAUAAUAUAAUGGACAUAAUGGGAUGUAAGGAAUGCUGUUGUAUUUCACACAGUAUGUGAACCACUACAUUGACUCAACUAAUUAUGACCUGUAUUUGUUGUUUUUUGCUCUUGAAGCCUUAUGAACAUGUAUGUUGGUUAGACUCAGAUUCAAUAUGCUAUUUUAUUGGAGAACCCCCCCCCAUAGACAUUCAUCUGUGUGGAGGGUCUUAGUCUGGGUGGUUAUGAAUAUCUGUGUAUGUGUUGUCCUGGAGGUUUAUAACAAUAAAGAAGUUGAGGAAAAGUG
This is an RNA transcript of Oncorhynchus mykiss (rainbow trout), 4216 nucleotides long. It is a transcript of the gene named VPS9 domain-containing protein 1, with no coding region annotated. NCBI's taxonomy places the organism in Eukaryota, Metazoa, Chordata, Actinopteri, Salmoniformes, Salmonidae. The record is from RefSeq and is a predicted model, not a curated record.